CGAACUUGGAGUGGCCAGCCCCAGGCGCCGGCUACCCCUUGUGCGCCAGAGGCGUGCGGCUGGCGGGUGGAUUUGGCUCUCCGUUGUCCCACCCGGCUUAUCCCAAUGGGCGCAGAUGCGCUCGGCCGCUUCGCUUCGCCGCUCCCUUUCACGGUGGGCAGUGCGGGCUGCCCAGAGUGGACUGAACUCCGAGAUGUACACUUUGAUAGGGAGCAGGAAUUGGUGUGUGCUAUCUGUGGUUGGUCACUCAGGCUGACCAUCUCAUUUGGGACCUACACACUCAGUUGGCUGAGUGUAAGAGCUGCUUUUGUGGUGAACAACACAGGCCCACUUCUCUCCCCAAGACUGGAAUGAGCUGGUUAAGUGUGGGAAGAACAGGGUACUAAUUACAUUAUCUUUCCUACAACUGGAUUGGAAGGUGGAAAGGGAGGAAAAAAACCUGUGUCAAGGGCCUCCCCAUCUCCUCUUCCAGUCAUAAGCCUGCCUCUCCCUCUCCAAGUCUGGAAUGGGGCCUACCCGGAUCCAUUCCCAGAAGCAGCUGGUGCCAGCUGGUUUGGGCACCUGCUCCAGGACCUGUCAGUCUGGUCACUCUCUUCCAAGACCCUGUGCCACUCAUCUGAGCACGUGAUUUUGCCCGUGGAGAUAAUCGAGUGUAGAUGAAGCUGCCCUGACUGCAGAGUCAUCUCAGUGCCCUAGGAGGUGACCCACUAGGCAGACACGGAAAUGUUAAAACAAAGCAGAGCUCUGCAUGAAAGCGUGGCCUGAUUAUACUGGUUUCACCUGCCAGCGGCCCUCAGUGUCCUCUCCAGGGAAAGCCUACACUACAACCCAAAAUAGAAUUACUGAGGUACAAUGUCUGCCUUGAGAAAUGCUAAGUAGAGCUUUACUUCUCCAAAAGACCGGUAUUUCCUUUGUAUUUCACACCACUGGCUUCAUGUCGAAACUCAGCUGUUAGAACUUCCCCCUAGAGAUGCCUGCCUGCUGGAAAACGGAAAGGCUAUUUCAGACUGGGCUGCCCUCCAUAAAAAGGAACCCGGCUCCACGGGGUUAAGGCAAGGCCUGAAUCCAGGGCAGCAAUUCCUUAUACUGUAUCAACAGCCUUUCAUGCUGCUUGGCCUUUCAUGUAACUCUGAAGCAGUUUUUUUUUUUUUUAAUCGAUGUAUGCUAAGUAAACAUAGCUUUGUUUCUGUCUUCCAC
This 1197-nucleotide long non-coding RNA is filed under the name Cricetulus griseus (Chinese hamster). RNAcentral describes it as "lncRNA (ENSCGRG00015035000.1)". Lineage: Eukaryota; Metazoa; Chordata; Mammalia; Rodentia; Cricetidae. The record is from RNAcentral.